This 75-nucleotide transfer RNA is filed under the name Slackia piriformis. RNAcentral's name for it is "tRNA-Arg". It matches the Rfam family "tRNA". From Rfam's summary of the family: Transfer RNA (tRNA) molecules are approximately 80 nucleotides in length. The record is from RNAcentral. Lineage: Bacteria; Bacillati; Actinomycetota; Coriobacteriia; Eggerthellales; Eggerthellaceae.
CGGGGCGUGGCGCAGCGGAUAGCGCGGCGGCCUCCUAAGCCGCCCGUGCGGGUUCGAGUCCCGCCGUCCCGGCCA